GACGAACGCUGGCGGCGUGCUUAACACAUGCAAGUCGAACGGAAAGGCCCUGCUUUUGUGGGUUGCUCGAGUGGCGAACGGGUGAGUAAAACGUGAGUAACCUGCCCUUGACUUUGGGAUAACUUCAGGAAACUGGGGCUAAUACCGGAUAGGAGCUCCUGCUGCAUGGUGGGGGUUGGAAAGUUUCGGCGGUUGGGGAUGGACUCGCGGCUUAUCAGCUUGUUGGUGGGGUAGUGGCUUACCAAGCCUUUGACGGGUAGCCGGCCUGAGAGGGUGACCGGCCACAUUGGGACUGAGAUACGGCCCAGACUCCUACGGGAGGCAGCAGUGGGGAAUAUUGCACAAUGGGCGGAAGCCUGAUGCAGCAACGCCGCGUGCGGGAUGACGGCCUUCGGGUUGUAAACCGCUUUCGCCUGUGACGAAGCGUGAGUGACGGUAAUGGGUAAAGAAGCACCGGCUAACUACGUG
RNAcentral lists this ribosomal RNA (468 nucleotides) under uncultured bacterium. RNAcentral's name for it is "partial 16S ribosomal RNA". It matches the Rfam family "Bacterial small subunit ribosomal RNA", at positions 28 to 507 of the family's 1533-position model. The record is from RNAcentral.